Chlorocebus sabaeus (green monkey) is the source of this 842-nucleotide non-coding RNA. NCBI's taxonomy places the organism in Eukaryota, Metazoa, Chordata, Mammalia, Primates, Cercopithecidae. The record is from RefSeq and is a predicted model, not a curated record.
CGCCUCCUUUCUCGGUCCCAGUCCUACCGGGAAACAGAAAAUCAACACGCGGCGCGGCUGCAAAGUCGGUUUCCUAUUGGUCAGCGCCGCCUGGGCUGAGCCCGCCCGCCCCGCCUCUUCUCCCACCUGGGCGGGGCCUCUCCGCGGACCCCCGGCUGCCUCCUGCCCGCAGUCCAACUACCUGCCAGGAGAUCUUAAAGAGGCCGCGGCCGCAUUCAGACGCUGCGCGGCAUGGGGAGGGGGUGGCUCAAUGUCCCGGGCGCGGGGUUGAGGAUCCCAGUGUUCGAGCGCUGGAGGCGGGGCCCCAGCCUGUAGCGCUCGCUGCACCUGCGGAAUGUCCCUACUACUAGUUUCAGGCGCAGUUUCUCUAUUCACCAUUAGGGGGAAGGGAGCCCAGACCACUUGACAGCGAAUAAUAACAAAAGCUCACUUUGAUUCAGUGCGUUGCACAUGCCAGGGCUUUUACUCACCUCUCGCGUCGUCGUUGCCGAAACCCUAUAAGAUGUGCGUCAAUGUGAGUGUGCCCCAUGCAGAAGUUCCAAGUUCUUCCCCUCACUUGAGCUCAGUCUCAUACAGGUGUUCCUCCUACAAGGUGCUUUCCCUUACCUCACAGGUAUGUUUCUGAACAGGUUUCCCUCCACCCAUGAAUGCAUUCUACAGUCUCCCGCCCCAUAGGUGUGUUUCAGUAAAGCAUACACCCAUCUGGGUAUGUUUCCAUAUAACCAAGUCCCAUAUAGGUCUACGUAAAUGCAGGUAUGUCUCAUACAGGUAUUUACAAGACACUGACACCCCAGUAAUUCCCCAAUACAAGUGCUGUACAUUUCAUAGGUGAGCCAUGCAGA